This is a long non-coding RNA of Lycium ferocissimum, 1558 nucleotides long. RefSeq lists it as uncharacterized. Lineage: Eukaryota; Viridiplantae; Streptophyta; Magnoliopsida; Solanales; Solanaceae. The record is from RefSeq and is a predicted model, not a curated record. The transcript is spliced from 7 exons.
AUUGUAUAGUCGGUUCACAAGUGUUUGCUGGUUUAGAAGAGUCACAACAUGUCAAGUAGCUGUUGUUGUCGUUUGUCAAGAAGACGAGCAAAAUACACCACUACUAGAAAGAGAUAUGCUUUAGUGUUAGUGCGUAUUGCAACCAAAGGGGGGUUGCUUAUUAUUUAGGAAAGCUUUGAGCUAUUGAAUUUCUUGCACUAAUUGUCUGCUGCGUUUCUUCCAAGUGGGAAUGAGGUUGAUUUAAAUUAGAUUUGCUGACUAAGUUGGUUUUGCAGUGAAGCUAAUUAGUGAACACAAAUCAAGCUAAUUAUGAAGCUGCCAAGUUGAUAAGGUCAACAAAGUUCCAGUGAAUUAAUACCCCUUUAGAAACUUGUAGUAGCUCUAGUCAUUAGUAAAAAUACCAUUGCAGCUAGGUGUUUAAUAUCUCUCUAGUUUAUAGUUAGUCUCAGUUAUUCAUUAUACUUUUGUUGCAAAGAAUAAGAAAUUUAUUAAAAGGCUAAAUUUCUUCACAGAAGAUAUAGAAGGAACUUGUAUUCAUCACUCAACUUUUUCCAAUUCUGAAGUUAUAUCCACCAGCAGACCUUAAUGGAGAAACUUAAUUUAAGACCAAAGGUUAACUGAUGGCUUUCUGUUUCUUUAUAAAAGAUUUCUAGGAUUAAUCAUCUAACAGAUCAAUCGAGAUCCUGUAUCUAGUGAGAUGUUGAAGAUGCGGCAACAACUAGAGUAUUUGCAGGCAGAACUCUGUGGCCGUGGGGGAGGUGCUUCAUCUAAUGAAAUUCAGGUACUCAAGGAUAGGAUUUCAUGGCUUGAAGCUAGUAAUGAGGAGCUAAGUAGAGAAUUGCAUGAGUACCGCAGAAGAGGCUCAGUAUCCUGAUUUGGAACUAGUCUCUGUAAUGCCAGGUGAUUCAAGAGAUAUGGAUGACGAAGCAGCAAAAGAGUGGGAACAUACCCUCCUGCAAGACUCAAUGGACAGAGAGUUGAACAAGCUAAAUCGGCGCAUAGAGCAGAAGGAGGCCUUGAUGAUGAUCACCAGAAAAAGAUUGAAUCUUGGCAUCAUUUGCUGAUUGUUUUUUGAUUUCUGAGCGAAAAUCAGCAUCAUUAGCUAAUUGCUUUUUGGUUUCUGAGUGAAAAUGGCCUUGUGGUUCACAAGAUUGGAAGGCUAGGCUGAACAUACCACCACCUAAUACUCGAUACAGAACAGAGCUUGGUUAUAUAAUUUAUAGGCUAGUCGUACGUUAUUACUCUGGAAAAGAGGAUGGGAUGGAUGUGAGAAAGGCUUUACCCCGAGGCAUUCAAAAGAAGUCUUAUCAUUCCCCUUAAACAACCAGUUACUCAUGAUCAAUUGGAUUAGUAUCACCAAUUCAGUUUCGACGUAAUCUUGUCCUGGAAUUUAUUGCAGGAUGUCUUUUCAAGAAGCCGAGGUUUAUGUGUAUGACCAGUGUAUUCGUGAAUGUUUAUUGAUUAUGUAUUGAUACCAGGAAAAUGUAGAGAAUUUUUUUUUUAAAAGACUGAAUAUUUUUGCCACGGUUGAACCGUGGGUAAUUCCUUUUUUUUUUUU